Quercus lobata is the source of this 1924-nucleotide long non-coding RNA. RefSeq lists it as uncharacterized. NCBI's taxonomy places the organism in Eukaryota, Viridiplantae, Streptophyta, Magnoliopsida, Fagales, Fagaceae. The transcript has 3 exons. The record is from RefSeq and is a predicted model, not a curated record.
AAAAAAAUCUUGAUUGAAACAAAUGAGUUAUUUUGAUAGGAGCUUGAUGGGUUUUUUUAAAACUCUGGUUUCAUUUCUUUUUCCCUCGUUUUCUCUGAACCAAACAGAAACGUAUAAUUGAUUCAUUGAAAAUUUGGUUUGUUCUGUUCUUUUCUGAAUUUGGGAUUCACUGUACUGAUCUGAUUAUAUUGAGAUUUCAGAAAAAGGGCUAAAUAUGUCUAUGAUCAGUUCAUUUUUAAAAUUUCUCCUUUGUGUAUUCUGUUUGGUUCCCAGGAUAACAGGGAGAAAAUUGUGAAUAGGGAAAACUGAAACAUAACAGAUUAUUUAUUAUUCUUGACAACCAAAGAGUGCCUUGCAAGAUCUGUUUUUCGUAAUUUUUUGAAAAUGGUCUGCGUGAAAAAUCUGUACCUAGAAAAUGUUGUGGUUUAUGGGGCUCUUUAACAUUUGGUGUUACUUUGAGUUUUUGUGUAGUUAGAAUCAUUGCAACCUUUGAACAUUGAAAGUUCAUUUAGUUAAAAGUUAUGAAUGGAAUUUAGUUUUUUUGGAAAGUUUUGUUCCAAUGGUUAAUGGGUCGAUGAGCUUUCAUACGAAAUCUGUGGGGCUUUUGUGAACACAUUGUUGAAAUCCCGUGUCUUGUGUGUGUCUGUUUGUUGAAUACCAGAUAAGAGUGACCAUUGUAAGUAAAUUUAAAACGUGGAAGUGAAGAUUUAUGACAUGGUAGGAAGAGUCGUAUUUGUUAGGGGUGUUUGAUUUUAUGCAUGCCUAUUGCAGUAUGUAUACUACAAGUCUUUUUGUGAGCUGGGUUUGUCAUGCAGUAGAAUGAUCUUAAAUAUUAUUUAUAUUUUCUUGGUUUAGUGCAGAAGAGAUUUUAGUGUGUACAGAUUUUGUUUUUACAUGCUGCUCUUUGCCUCUCUCCCCAUCCCCUUUAAAGUUUUAACAAUUUUAGAUAAGUGGGCAACUUCCUAGAAUGCUCUCUGCAAAUUUGUUAAAUUUGGAACAUAAUCUCCAAUAAGGCAAUAACUUACUUUGGGAUUGGCCAAUGACUUUUAGCUCAAAUGAUACUUCUUCAUCCCUCAAUUAUGGGAUGGAUGCCAAGGUGGUGGGUUCAAGAUCCAUUGGGUGUAUGUGUAACUUACUAAUUUCUUAAAAACAAAACUUACUUUGGGUAUUGGAAAUAUAUGCUUUUGGCAGAGUUGGUUGCUACUAUUUUUUAGCUAUUAUGGAGCAGCCACUGAAAGUAGAAAUCAUCUCUGCUAUGAUUGUAGCUUUUCAAGAAAAUCUUUGUAGGAUCCUGAUUUUUUGUGAAAUAGCAGGAAGUGUCCAUCUCUUGGAAUGCUGACAGAGUGGUCCAUUAAGAAUUGGAAAGAGAGUAAGCGACAGAUUAAUAAAGAAAAAAGAUGGAGAAAGUUGUUCAUUUCCCAAAACUCCCUAUUGAGUUUCUCAUGCGGCCUUCUUCUAACAACAACAGAGAUGUUUUAAUCAAAACGAUGCCUUCUGCAUCAAAGCCUGAGAUCAAGAGGGUUCUGGAAUCAGUAUAUGGUUGCGAAGUUGAAAAGGUACGGACACUAAAUAUGCGAGGAAAGAAAAAGAUGAGAGGGGGGCGCUUGAUUGCAAGACCAGAUUACAAGAAGGCUUAUGUGACUCUAAAGAAUCCUUCAUCCUUCUCUCCCGACAUGAAUCCUAUCCAUUUAGUUAAAGAGGAAAAGAAUAAAUAAAGUCAAAUUCAAGCAUCGUCACAAAGUGAGGAAUCUCACUAGCUUGACUAGGAUUUAAUUUUGAGAAGUAAUCAAGUCAGGGAGGCAGAAGUGGCAUUUAUGUUGAUCCAGCAUCGCCCAUCGGUUCUAUUCCAGAUUCAUAACUAGAAAGUUUCUCAUAUUAAUUCAACAGCCCUUUUCAUUGCUUUUUGAAAUGAAACUCUAUUCUU